ACUCAGAUGAACUUCGGGAGGUCUGGGAUGCAGGCUUCAAACUUGUAGUCUCUUAGAAGCGGAGUGGUUCCAUUCUACCUUCUGGAUG
This is a non-coding RNA of Cordylochernes scorpioides, 88 nucleotides long. The record is from the annotation of a GenBank genome assembly. NCBI's taxonomy places the organism in Eukaryota, Metazoa, Arthropoda, Arachnida, Pseudoscorpiones, Chernetidae.